Molecule: ribosomal RNA, 395 nt
Filed under: uncultured bacterium
Lineage: Bacteria
Description: bacterial SSU rRNA
Rfam family: Bacterial small subunit ribosomal RNA
Source: RNAcentral
UGGGUUUGACAUGUAUUAGAAUAUAGCUGAAAGGUUAUAGUCCUUCGGGACUGGUACACAGAUGCUGCAUGGCUGUCGUCAGCUCGUGUCGUGAGAUGUUCGGUUAAGUCCGGCAACGAGCGCAACCCUCGCCCUAUGUUACUCUUCGGAGGUCUCUUAGGGGACAAACCUGAAUUCAGGUGGGAAGGUGGGGAUGACGUCAAGUCAGUAUGGCUCUUACAUCCAGGGCUGCACACGUGCUACAAUGGCCGGUACAAUGGGUUGCGAGACUGUAAAGUGGAGCUAAUCCCCAAAGCCGGUCCCAGUUCGGAUUGAGGUCUGCAACUCGACCUCAUGAAGCCGGAAUCGCUAGUAAAGGCGUAUCAGCAACGACGCCUUGAAUACGUUCCCGGGUC